ACUUGAAUAGCUUAUAUUUAGAGCAUAACACUGAAGAUGUUAAGGUAAUAUUUUAUUUUUAAGUG
RNAcentral lists this transfer RNA (65 nucleotides) under Oxytauchira flange. RNAcentral describes it as "tRNA-Phe". It matches the Rfam family "tRNA". Rfam says of the family: Transfer RNA (tRNA) molecules are approximately 80 nucleotides in length. Their secondary structure includes four short double-helical elements and three loops (D, anti-codon, and T loops). Lineage: Eukaryota; Metazoa; Arthropoda; Insecta; Orthoptera; Acrididae. The record is from RNAcentral.